GUAUGGCUGUUCGCCAUUUAAAGUGGUACGCGAGCUGGGUUUAGAACGUCGUGAGACAGUUCGGUCCCUAUCUGCCGUGGGCGCUGGAGAACUGAGGGGGGCUGCUCCUAGUACGAGAGGACCGGAGUGGACGCAUCACUGGUGUUCGGGUUGUCAUGCCAAUGGCACUGCCCGGUAGCUAAAUGCGGAAGAGAUAAGUGCUGAAAGCAUCUAAGCACGAAACUUGCCCCGAGAUGAGUUCUCCCUGACCCUUUAAGGGUCCUGAAGGAACGUUGAAGACGACGACGUUGAUAGGCCGGGUGUGUAAGCGCAGCGAUGCGUUGAGCUAACCGGUACUAAUGAACCGUGAGGCUUAACCUUACAACGCCGAAG
This 372-nucleotide ribosomal RNA is filed under the name Escherichia coli. Its description in RNAcentral is "bacterial LSU rRNA". It matches the Rfam family "Bacterial large subunit ribosomal RNA", at positions 2571 to 2925 of the family's 2925-position model. The record is from RNAcentral. Lineage: Bacteria; Pseudomonadati; Pseudomonadota; Gammaproteobacteria; Enterobacterales; Enterobacteriaceae.